GUGAGGAAUAUUGGUCAAUGGGCGGAAGCCUGAACCAGCCAAGUCGCGUGAAGGAAGAAGGAUCUAUGGUUUGUAAACUUCUUUUGAAGGGGGAUAAAGUGGGUUACGUGUAACCCAUUGCAGGUACCCUUGGAAUAAGCAUCGGCUAACUCCGUGCCAGCAGCCGCGGUAAUACGGAGGAUGCGAGCGUUAUCCGGAUUUAUUGGGUUUAAAGGGUGCGUAGGUGGCUUUUUAAGUCAGCGGUGAAAACUGGCGGCUCAACCGCAAGAGUGCCGUUGAAACUGGGGAGCUAGAGUAUGAACGAGGUAGGCGGAAUGUGUGGUGUAGCGGUGAAAUGCAUAGCUGUCACGCAGAACUCCGAUAGCGAAGGCAGCUUACCAGGCCAUAACAGACACUGAAGCACGAAAGCGUGGGGAUCGAACAGGAUUAGAAACCCUAGUAGUCC
Molecule: ribosomal RNA, 445 nt
Filed under: uncultured bacterium
Lineage: Bacteria
Description: partial 16S ribosomal RNA
Rfam family: Bacterial small subunit ribosomal RNA
Source: RNAcentral